This 482-nucleotide ribosomal RNA is filed under the name uncultured bacterium. RNAcentral describes it as "partial 16S ribosomal RNA". It matches the Rfam family "Bacterial small subunit ribosomal RNA", at positions 30 to 507 of the family's 1533-position model. The record is from RNAcentral.
AUUGAACGCUGGCGGCAUGCCUUACACAUGCAAGUCGAACGGUAACAGGUCUUCGGAUGCUGACGAGUGGCGAACGGGUGAGUAAUACAUCGGAACGUGCCCAGACGUGGGGGAUAACGAGGCGAAAGCUUUGCUAAUACCGCAUACGAUCUAAGGAUGAAAGCAGGGGACCGCAAGGCCUUGCGCGUUUGGAGCGGCCGAUGGCGGAUUAGGUAGUUGGUGGGAUAAAAGCUUACCAAGCCGACGAUCUGUAGCUGGUCUGAGAGGACGACCAGCCACACUGGAACUGAGACACGGCCCAGACGCCUACGGGAGGCAGCAGUGGGGAAUUUUGGACAAAGGGCGAAAGCCUGAUCCAGCAAGGCCGCGUGCAGGAUGAAGGCCUUCGGGUUGUAAACUGCUUUUGUACGGAACGAAAAGGCUCUGGCUAAUACCUGGGGCACAUGACGGUACCGUAAGAAUAAGCACCGGCUAACUACGUG